UGAAGUAAGUAAGGGCGUACGGUGAAUGCCUUGGUGCCAACAGGCGAAGAAGGACGCGGCAAGCUGCGAAAAACCUCGGGAAGCUGCAAGCAAGCGAUGAUCCGGGGGUGUCCGAAUGGGGUAACCUGACUGGGGUAAUACCUGGUCGUUCAUACCUGAAUACAUAGGGUAUGAAACGCAAUACCCGCUGAAGUGAAACAUCUCAGUAAGCGGAGGAAAAGAAAGAGAAAUCGAUUCCGUAAGUAGUGGCGAGCGAAAGCGGAUGGAGCCCAAACCGAAGGUACUCCUUCGGGGUUGUAGGACCACGACAUAUUCGACCAUAGUGGAUAGUAGAACAGUCUGGAAAGGCUGGCCAUAGAAGGUGAAAGCCCUGUAGACGAAAUCCAGAGUGGGAAUUAGUGGUAUCCUGAGUAAUACAUCACACGUGGAACGAUGUAUGAAUCAGCGCGGACCACCGCGCAAGGCUAAAUACUAGUUGGCGACCGAUAGUGAACAAGUACCGCGAGGGAAAGGUGAAAAGAACCGCUGUGAGCGGAGUGAAAUAGAACCUGAAACCGUAUGUCUACAAAGUGUCAGAGCAGAGCAAUCUGCGAUGGCGUGCCUUUUGUUUAAUGAGUCUGCGAGUCAGUGUUUGUGGCAAGACUAAGGGCUUCCGGCCCGGAGUCGCAGCGAAAGCAAGUCCGAAUAGGGCGCAUUAAGUCGCAGGUACUGGACCCGAAGCGGAGGUGACCUACCCUUGGCCAGGUUGAAGCAUGGGUAAAACCAUGUGGAGGACCGAACAGGUGAACGUUGAAAAGUUCUCUGAUGAGCUGAGGGUAGGAGUGAAAGGCUAAUCAAACCCCGUGAUAGCUGGUUCUCUUCGAAAUGCAUUUAGGUGCAGCGUCACGUGCUGAUGCGCGGGGGUAGAGCACUGACAAGGCUAGGGGGCACACCCGCUUACCAAACCUUAUCAAACUCCGAAUACCGUGCAAUGGAACGUGGCAGUGAGACAGUGGGGGAUAAGCUUCAUUGUCGAGAGGGAAACAACCCAGACCAGCAGCUAAGGUGCCUAAAUAACGCUGAGUGGAAAGGAUGUGGGAUUACACAGACAGUGAGGAUGUUGGCUUAGAAGCAGCCACCAUUUAAAAAAUGCGUAAUAGCUUACUCAUCGAGUGAUCCUGCGCCGAAAAUGAUUGGCGAUCAAGCGUUAUACCGAAGCUCUGGACUUUGCCGCAAGGCAGAGUGGUAGAAGAGCGUUGCAUGCGCAUUGAAGGGUGAUGGCGACUGACCCUGGAGCGCAUGCAAGUGAGUAUGCAGACAUGAGUAACGUAAAGCCGGGUGAAAUCCCCGGCCGCCGUAAACCCGAGGUUUCCAGGGCAACGUGUUUCGUCCCUGGGUUAGCCGGGACCUAAGCCGAGGCCGAGAGGCGUAGGCGAUGGAUAUCAGGUUAAUAAUCCUGAGCUCGCGACCCUUAAACUGGGGGGACGCAUGAGAAGAGAUGACCAGGUUAUUGAAUUCCGAGCUGGGUCCACGGACCCAGCGCAUCAUCAAAUCGAGUGCCAAGAAAAGCCCCAGCGUAUGCUAAGCGACCCGUACCGCAAACCGACACAGGUGGGUGGGUAGAAUAUACCAAGGCGUAAGAGUGAAACCUGGUUAAGGAACUCGGCAAAUUAGCCCCGUAACUUCGGAAGAAGGGGUGCCUGCAGCGAUGCAGGCCGCAGAGAAAUGGCCCAACCGACUGUUUAUCAAAAACACAGCACUCUGCAAAGACGCAAGUCGAAGUAUAGGGUGUGACACGUGACCAAUGCCGAAAGAUUAAGGCAAGGGGUUAGCCGCAAGGCGAAGCUCUGAACCCAAGUCCCGGUGAAUGUCGGCCGUAACUAUAACGGUCCUAAGGUAGCGAAAUUCCUUGUCGGGUAAGUUCCGACCUGCACGAAUCGUGAAACGAGUUGGGCACUGUCUCAACCAGGCGCUCAGUGAAAUUGUAGUGGCGGUGAAGAUGCCGCCUACCCGCAGAAGGACGGAAAGACCCUAUAGACCUUAACUGUAAGCUGUCAUUGUUUCUUCGGUUUUAAUGCUCAGAGUAAGUGGGAGACGCUGAAGAUGCCCUUUAGGGGGCAUCCGAGUCAUCAAUGAGACACCACCCUUUGAAACUGGAGGAUCUAACCCUGAGCCGUGAAUCCGGCCAGAGGACCGUGUCAGCCGGUCAGUUUUACUGGGGCGGUAUCCUCCCAAAGAGUAACGGAGGAGCGCGAAGGUGGGCUCAGCCCGGUUGGCAACCGGGUGUCGAGUGCAUGGGCAUAAGCCCGCCUAACUGUGAGACCAACAAGUCGAGCAGAUGCGAAAGCAGGCCCAAGUGAUCCGGCGGUAGAAAGUGGAAUUGCCGUCGCUCAACGGAUAAAAGGUACCUUAGGGAUAACAGGCUGAUCACGCCCAAGAGUUCAUAUCGACGGCGUGGUUUGGCACCUCGAUGUCGGCUCGUCGCAUCCUGGGGCUGGAGAAGGUCCCAAGGGUCCGGCUGUUCGCCGGUUAAAGCGGCACGCGAGCUGGGUUCAGAACGUCGCGAGACAGUUCGGUCCUCUAUCCUCUGUGGGCGUUGGAAAAUUGAGGGGUUCAGACCUUAGUACGAGAGGACCGGGUCUGACGCACCACUGGUGCAUCGGUUGUACUGUCAAGUGCAUGGCCGAGUAGCUAAGUGCGGAAGGGAUAAGCGCUGAAAGCAUCUAAGCGCCAAGCCCAUCCCAAGAUGAGUUUUCCCUAUAGGUUCGUGGAAGACCACCACGUCGAUAGGUCGCAGGUGUAAGUGCAGCAAUGUAUUGAGCCAAGCGAUACUAAUCACCGAUAGACUUCAUCAU
This 2834-nucleotide ribosomal RNA is filed under the name human gut metagenome. RNAcentral describes it as "bacterial LSU rRNA". It matches the Rfam family "Bacterial large subunit ribosomal RNA". RNAcentral also lists the same sequence under 1 other name. The record is from RNAcentral.